Molecule: ribosomal RNA, 253 nt
Filed under: uncultured bacterium
Lineage: Bacteria
Description: partial 16S ribosomal RNA
Rfam family: Bacterial small subunit ribosomal RNA
Source: RNAcentral
GACAGAGGCCUCAAGCGUUAGGCGGAAUCACUGGGCUUAAAGCGUGUGUAGGCGGGUUGGUAAGUACUUUGUGAAAUCCCACGGCUUAACUGUGGAACUGCUUAGUAUACUGCCGAUCUUGAGUCAUCUAGGGGCAGCCGGAACAGAUGGUGGAGCGGUGAAAUGCGUAGAUAUCGGAAGGAACGCCGGUGGCGAAAGCGACGUGCUGGACCUCUUCUGACGCUGAGGCGCGAAAGCUAGGGGAGCAAACGGG